This is an RNA transcript of Oryzias melastigma (Indian medaka), 3213 nucleotides long. RefSeq lists it as uncharacterized. The transcript has 4 exons. The record is from RefSeq and is a predicted model, not a curated record. NCBI's taxonomy places the organism in Eukaryota, Metazoa, Chordata, Actinopteri, Beloniformes, Adrianichthyidae.
CACAUAAACGAGUAGUAUUGCCUUGUUGUCAAUAUCUGUAGACUCAUCAACCUGGAGUGCAUACCAUGGUGAUGUAUUAAUCCUCUACAGCAAUUGUGUCUCAACGUCCUCUGCUAUUCGCUCAAUGCGCCGAGUGAUGGUGCUGGCAGAAAGAGGCACCUGUGUGAUCCUUUUAACCGCAGCCUCUCCUAGAAGUUCCCAGCAGAUGUCUUUAGCAACCCAAUGCGCGUACCGGGCACGGACCUGGCCGCGGAUUGGUUCAUGCCCGGUCCGUGGAGCGCUAGCAAGUUACCCGCGGAGCGGUACCAGUCCGCGGCCUGGAGGUUGAGGACCGCUGUUCUAAAACACAGGUGUCAAACUCCAGUCCUCGAGGGCCGGUGUCCCACAUGUUUUCCAACCAACCUGCUUUUGAAGCUCCUUAUUGGCCAAACACACCUGAUCCAGGUAAUCAGCAGCAGAUAACACAGAGGUGGGCUUCCAUUGUCCCUAAGGUGAGGAGGGUGAGGCUUCGUUCUGCCGUUACGGUCCUCUCCUCUGGAGCAGCCUCCUGGAGAGCCUCAGGGCCGCAGAGAUUUCACAGGUUUCUGAGAAGAGGCUCGUGACACACCUUUUUAACGUGGCUUUUGGAUAAUAUUAUCUUCUUAAUAAUUCAUUCAUCCAGGACCAGAUCGUGCGGACAGCAGUCUCAUCAAAUAUGCCCAGACUUCACUCUCCACGGCCACUUCCACCAGCUCUUCUGGGGGGACCCCAAGGUGUUCCAGGCCAGUGGGACAUGCCCGGAACACCUCUCCAGGGAGGUAUCAAGGAGACAUCCGGACCUGAUGCCCGAGGCACCUCAACUGGCUCCUCUGCAUGUGGAGGAGAAGCGGCUCUACUCCGAGCUCUCUCCAGGUUUCAUCUUCUGGGGGGAGUAUAACGAGGUACCAGGCAGACCCAAACAUCCCUGUGGGCUGUUUCAAAAGGAUGAACGUGUCCUUCAGCUGCUGGAAAUAAGUCACAGAACCCCAAGCUGUCGCCGUCUGUCUGCCUGCUGCUCAGUUGCUUCUUUAUGAUUCUGUCUCUACGAUGGAAGAACUGGACCAGAUGUGGUUCUGACUCAACAAAAACCCAGUGAGGACUUGCUGUACAGGAUGGCGACAUCGACGAGUCCAGCUGAAUCUAGAGCUGCAGAUUUGAUGGCCACCACUCCCACGCUGACAGAUCGGAUCUCCAUCAGGCCUUCAAAAUAAAAGACAGGAGUCAGGUUAGAGUUGUGCCGUUCCACCAUUAGCAUGUAGGAAAAAUACAGCAAGCAUGUUCAGAGGCUGGACACGGUUUAAAUUCCAGGUAUUUGAAAUGUGAAGAAAAGUUCUGAUAUUUUACCAUUAAUGAUGUAGACUGGAGGAGAUGCGUUUGACCGCGGCUUCCUUCUCUCCAAGCCUCUGAACUCCAUAAAAACGGACAAUAUCUCUAGUUCACAUUUCCUCAAAAACCAGCUCCAAACUGCAUUAAACCUUUAUACAUAUUGUAAAUGAAUAACCUAAGAGAUAGAUAGAUAUAUAAAUAAAAAGUGCUUCCUGGUCAGAACAACACUCAUACUUUAAAUCAACCCAUGGUUAAAAAAAACUUACUAAAAUAAUAAAAAUACAUUAAAAGAAGUGCUUGCAGGUAAAACCUGGAGAUGCAAACAAAGAUAAAUAAAUAAAUAAAUGCAUAUUUUUCUUGGGACUUUGUGGCUCUCGCUGGGUUUUGGUCAGGAAAAAAACAGCCUAAAUGGCUCCUUUAUUCAUGUCCUAAAACAAAAUAUUUUGAAAAAAAAACGUAUCAAAUCACCUAUCGAAUUAUCCCCGCAUUAUAUAUAUCUCAUAGGAAAUUAUGUUGAAUGUUUGUUUGCAUCAGUGUUUAAGAAAAUCUUGACUCUCAAAAAAACAAAAAACAGUCAGUUCUAUGGUGCAGUGCAGGGGUCGGCAACUGGAGGGAACGACAGUGGCGCGCCAGGUGACAACAAAAAGCUACUUUGUCGUUUUUCUGAAUUUUCCGGUUCGGAAAAGAGUGAUCAUCUCUUUACACAAGGAUCUUUGAUCCCCCAUGGCGUCAUAGUCUAUUCACGCAGCGCUCUGACUGUGACCCCGCCCACCGGUAUAAACUGCGGCUUUUAUCUUUUUUUUUCAAUAAAACUUUAUCGUUUCACACAACGCUCAUUACCUUCAGUGCCAUCCUUCAUGACCGGGUGAUUUGAAUUUUUGUAGAUUAAUGUAGAAUAAAGAAGGUCCCCCCAAUUAAAUGAAAAAGCUGAGAUAUUUCCUUUGCUUUGAAACUAUUACCGAUAAGACAAGUGUGGCGAUUUGAGCGGAUGUUUCUGGAUGACUGUUUGUUGCAUGAAGCGAAAGUUCAAGACUUCACAGCUUUUUAAAAUGUUAUCAUGUUUUGUUGUGGCUGAUAUUUAUUAAAUUGGGUUUCCAUAUGGGGAUCUUUUGUAGUAGGACCUGCUGGUUUGGUCGGUGUUUACUGUCGCAGGUCUCGCUCUUGUUGGAGCGGUUUGGGUCCAGCAUGCAGCCUCACGGCUUUGGUGGACCUGCUGCCGUCUGGUUCUGGUGGGCGCUGUGGUGAUGAUCUGAUCUGCUGCUGGAGAUUCCUGAUCUAUUGUUUCCUCACAUCCUUACGUCUCUUCUAAAAUUAUAGUCAUUUAUUCCUGCUUGUAUGCGGGGGCAAAGGGGGGUUGGUUUGAAUUUUUCUUCAUUUUUGUAUUUUAUGUUUGUUUUUAAUUGUAAAGCGCUCUGAGCUGCAACAGAUGAAAAGUGCUUUUAAUAAAUAAAGAUUGAUAAGUUCAGUUUGUUGAAUGAUAACCAACCAAGGUCAGAUUAAACUGAUCUUCUGUUCUGCCAAAUGUCAAUAUGAAAUUUAAACAAAUGUAAAAGUUAAUGUUAAGCUGAUCAUCACAGCAUUUCCUGGAGACGAAAAGGAAGAAUGAUGCUGUCCUGUUGCAGAAUAUUUAAAUCACUAAAAAUAGUAAACCAAUGAAAAAGUAAAAGCCACUUAGUUUUAUACUAAAUAAAACCAUCAUCACAGAGUGAACUAACAAGUUCUUCAGGUCCGGUCUCAUAAUGUAACAAAAAAUAAAAAAGCCAAAAUCAUACUCAUGUAUCAAACUCACAGUUGUGAAGUUCUUAGAAAUAUUGAUGAUAUUUUGUUCUGAUGUAUAUAGCGGCUGGGUGGCUCAGUGGGCUAGGUGAA